GGACAAAGCAUUCCUUCUUUAUGUCGAAGGGACGCAUGGAGGCCUCCAUACGCUCCCUGUCCGACUUCCUCAGGUACGAGGCAGCUGCCCCAAACACAGCCAUCUCUGCGUCCCCCAUGGCUGCACUAACAUACAGUCGCUGUCAUUGCAGUCUAUGCCGCUUACCAGUUUACCAACACCAUGUCCAACAUGGCCUCCAAGCACUGGAAAGAUCCUUCGUCCUCUCGGCGCUCUUCCCCUGGCUUGUCAAAAACCCCAGAUCUUCAAUGAAGCCCAUCUUCGAUGACCUGGCAUCCCAGCUAAAUUCCUCCCAUGCAUCAUCUUGCUAGCUCCCCUCCUGCAUCUGCAACAGUAGAACCUCAUCUUAUCCAUCCAUCCAUCCAUCCAUCCAUCCAUCCAUCCAUCCAAGAUCCAUCUCCAGCCCCAAGUCAUUAACACUUCCCAAAGGAAAUGAAUGACUGUAUACUACUGUACAAUCAUUGAUAGCUUUGUUUUAAUUAAACAGUCUGACUCCCCUGGUCUGUACUAGCUCUUAGUCAGCUGCUAGGCACCAGCCGAGGCGACUUGCUGAAGGAGCACUUAUAUGGGGCGUUAAUUGAAUGGACAUAUUAGCUUAGGUCCAUUGGGUCGUUUACUGAGGAACAUACAGUACAUCAACAGUUUACAGUGUAAUAAAUUGAAAAAGAAAAACUGGAUGUUAAUGUGUAAGGAAUUCGAGUGUGAGUUGUAAAAAGUACUGCUGUUGUGAAAAUUGUUUGCACUAUGAUAUUUAAGAUGGAAACUAAAAGAAACUUCUUGUCACUUGAGAGAAAAAUGUUCACACUGAGAAAAAUGCUGAUGUUGAAAUUUCUGACUGUUAAACUGUCCUGUAUUGUCCUUGUAUUUAUGGAAGGUGAAAGCAAAUACUUGUUAUGAUAAAUGAAACAGGCCACCAGGUAUUACUGUGUAAUAAAGUGUGUGUCAUUUCAA
Molecule: long non-coding RNA, 969 nt
Organism: Seriola aureovittata
Lineage: Eukaryota; Metazoa; Chordata; Actinopteri; Carangiformes; Carangidae
Exons: 3
Source: RefSeq, a predicted model, not a curated record